AGUCGAGGGGCAUCAGUUUGGUUUGCUUGCAAACCAAAGCUGGCGACCGGCGCACGGGUGAGUAACACGUAUCCAACCUGCCUCAUACUCGGGGAUAGCCUUUCGAAAGAAAGAUUAAUAUCCGAUAGCAUAUAUUUCCCGCAUGGGUUUUAUAUUAAAGAAAUUCGGUAUGAGAUGGGGAUGCGUUCCAUUAGUUUGUUGGGGGGGUAACGGCCCACCAAGACUACGAUGGAUAGGGGUUCUGAGAGGAAGGUCCCCCACAUUGGAACUGAGACACGGUCCAAACUCCUACGGGAGGCAGCAGUGAGGAAUAUUGGUCAAUGGACGCGAGUCUGAACCAGCCAAGUAGCGUGAAGGAUGACUGCCCUAUGGGUUGUAAACUUCUUUUAUAUGGGAAUAAAGUUGUCCACGUGUGGAUUUUUGUAUGUACCAUAUGAAUAAGGAUCGGCUAACUCCGUGCCAGCAGCCGCGGUAAUACGGAGGAUCCGAGCGUUAUCCGGAUUUAUUGGGUUUAAAGGGAGCGUAGGCGGAUUGUUAAGUCAGUUGUGAAAGUUUGCGGCUCAACCGUAAAAUUGCAGUUGAUACUGGCAGUCUUGAGUGCAGUAGAGGUGGGCGGAAUUCGUGGUGUAGCGGUGAAAUGCUUAGAUAUCACGAAGAACUCCGAUUGCGAAGGCAGCUCACUGGAGUGUAACUGACGCUGAUGCUCGAAAGUGUGGGUAUCAAACAGGAUUAGAUACCCUGGUAGUCCACACAGUAAACGAUGAAUACUCGCUGUUUGCGAUAUACAGUAAGCGGCCAAGCGAAAGCAUUAAGUAUUCCACCUGGGGAGUACGCCGGCAACGGUGAAACUCAAAGGAAUUGACGGGGGCCCGCACAAGCGGAGGAACAUGUGGUUUAAUUCGAUGAUACGCGAGGAACCUUACCCGGGCUUAAAUUGCAAUGAAUUAUGGGGAAACCCAUACGCCGCAAGGCAUUU
This 976-nucleotide ribosomal RNA is filed under the name Bacteroides caccae. RNAcentral's name for it is "bacterial SSU rRNA". It matches the Rfam family "Bacterial small subunit ribosomal RNA", at positions 60 to 1031 of the family's 1533-position model. The record is from RNAcentral. Lineage: Bacteria; Pseudomonadati; Bacteroidota; Bacteroidia; Bacteroidales; Bacteroidaceae.